Molecule: long non-coding RNA, 522 nt
Organism: Lolium rigidum
Lineage: Eukaryota; Viridiplantae; Streptophyta; Magnoliopsida; Poales; Poaceae
Exons: 2
Source: RefSeq, a predicted model, not a curated record
AGAGGUGAAGCCUCGGUGCCGGCGACCACCUUUGGCCGUCAUUGGAGACGUGGUCAGCGAGGGAAGCGAGGUCACACAUCGUUUACCUGCGUCGGCGACUGACGAGCAGUGAAUAGGCCGCAGCGGUCAUCCGCCCUGAGAAGAUGGAGGAGCUACGAAGCGAUGCGAGUAGACUGCAAAUGAUCUUUGGGAGCGGGGGGAAUGGAAGCUUCGGGGAGGAGAUGGGUUGCAUUCUGGUAAAUGUGGAUGUAGGAUAUGUGUGUGUAUUUAUUUGUAUGCGUUGGUUAUCAAUGGACAAUAGUGAUUUGGUUCUAGCUAGAGUGAUUGAAUUGAGUUAAUUUGGCAUAUUCAGUUAGCUCAGUUCAUGCAUUUUAUUCUCAGCUGGGCUGUUAGCUUCAUAUAUGUUCUUUUUACCCAGCUGCUUUAACAUAUGUGCUAAAUCGGCUGCAUUAAGUUUUAUUGAUUGGUGCAUUUCUUUGCGACGCAAUUAGCAUAUAUGAUGUAGAGGUUUAUCAGUUACCA